UACUAGAGUAGCACUCGCAUAUCAAUAAGCGGAGGAAAAGAAACUAACAAGGAUUCCCCUAGUAACGGCGAGUGAAGCGGGAAGAGCUCAAAUUUGAAAUCUUAAAGGGUUUCCCUUUACGAAUUGUAGUUUAAAGAAGUGUUUUCUGUUGAGGUUUUGGUAAAAGUUCUUUGGAAUAGGACAUCAUAGAGGGUGAGAAUCCCGUAUUUGACCUUUACUUUCAACUUUGUGAUACACUUUCAAAGAGUCGGAUUGUUUGGGAAUGCAGUCCAAAAUGGGUGGUAAAUUUCAUCUAAAGCUAAAUAUUGGCGAGAGACCGAUAGCGAACAAGUACCGUGAGGGAAAGAUGAAAAGAACUUUGAAAAGAGAGUUAAACAGUACGUGAAAUUGUCAAAAGGGAAACGUUUGACACCAGUGUUGUUUUUCUGAAAAUCAAUUAAAGAACUGUUUAUGCUAAGCUGUUUAGACUUUAUCAGCUAACUGUUUAGUUUUGAGCUUUUCUUUAAUGCACUUUUCAGUUAACAAGUCAACAUCAAUUUCUUUUGCUGUAAAAAAGCUUGAGGAAGGUGGCUUGAGAUUCGUCUUAAGUGUUUAUAGCCUCUUGCCUAUGCAGUCGGAGAGAUUGAGGUCUGCAGCGUAGAUCCUUCGGGGCUAAAUGCAUUUGUGCUAAGUUAUAGCAUUUCAUAGACAACUUGUUGACUAUGAUUUGUCUUGUAGCUUACUCGCUUAUGUUAUUUUACCUACGCUUAGGAUGUUGAGUCAUCACACAUCUCU
Molecule: ribosomal RNA, 774 nt
Filed under: uncultured Neocallimastigales
Lineage: Eukaryota; Fungi; Neocallimastigomycota; Neocallimastigomycetes; Neocallimastigales
Description: partial large subunit ribosomal RNA
Rfam family: Eukaryotic large subunit ribosomal RNA
Source: RNAcentral